Molecule: transfer RNA, 72 nt
Filed under: Pangasianodon hypophthalmus (striped catfish)
Lineage: Eukaryota; Metazoa; Chordata; Actinopteri; Siluriformes; Pangasiidae
Description: tRNA-Cys
Rfam family: tRNA
About the family: Transfer RNA (tRNA) molecules are approximately 80 nucleotides in length. Their secondary structure includes four short double-helical elements and three loops (D, anti-codon, and T loops).
Source: RNAcentral
UCCCUGGAGGACUAGUGGUUAGGCCACGGCGCUACAACUGCCGCAGCCCGGGUUCGAUUUCAGGCCAAGGAA